RNAcentral lists this non-coding RNA (120 nucleotides) under Paraphysomonas imperforata. The record is from RNAcentral. Lineage: Eukaryota; Chrysophyceae; Chromulinales; Paraphysomonadaceae.
UCUCAAUAAUGAAGGAAAUGAAGUAUCUUCUACUGAACAUGUUUCUGAGUCCUUUGAAGCUAUUGCUGAGGACAGUGUAAUCAUGGAAAAUCCUUCAGAUGAAACUGUCCCGGUCAUAGA